Long non-coding RNA from Ruditapes philippinarum (Manila clam), 276 nucleotides. RefSeq lists it as uncharacterized. The transcript has 3 exons. The record is from RefSeq and is a predicted model, not a curated record. NCBI's taxonomy places the organism in Eukaryota, Metazoa, Mollusca, Bivalvia, Venerida, Veneridae.
CAGAAGAGCUCCAAAUCCUAGGAGACAAACCAAAUCCUGCGACAAUGAAAACGAACCGAUCUGAAACGAGACUUUCAGGUUCUUCCUCAAAUACGUUGACGGAAACAAUAUGGAAGUAUCCUUAAUGGAUUCAGAUUACAUAUCUGAUGAUACUCUCUCCACUCAGACGAUAAAGAUACCUAAUUUAAAUGAUUUGAUGGAACGCAGACAAGAGAUGACCAUUAACUUCAAUGAGAGUUUGAAAAUUGACAUAGAGAUGUGGGCAGAAUCUGACAA